This 720-nucleotide ribosomal RNA is filed under the name gamma proteobacterium LLSM4. RNAcentral's name for it is "bacterial SSU rRNA". It matches the Rfam family "Bacterial small subunit ribosomal RNA", at positions 64 to 779 of the family's 1533-position model. Lineage: Bacteria; Pseudomonadati; Pseudomonadota; Gammaproteobacteria. The record is from RNAcentral.
GAGCGGUAGAGAGAAGCUUGCUUCUCUUGAGAGCGGCGGACGGGUGAGUAAUGCCUAGGAAUCUGCCUGGUAGUGGGGGAUAACGUUCGGAAACGGACGCUAAUACCGCAUACGUCCUACGGGAGAAAGCAGGGGACCUUCGGGCCUUGCGCUAUCAGAUGAGCCUAGGUCGGAUUAGCUAGUUGGUGGGGUAAUGGCUCACCAAGGCGACGAUCCGUAACUGGUCUGAGAGGAUGAUCAGUCACACUGGAACUGAGACACGGUCCAGACUCCUACGGGAGGCAGCAGUGGGGAAUAUUGGACAAUGGGCGAAAGCCUGAUCCAGCCAUGCCGCGUGUGUGAAGAAGGUCUUCGGAUUGUAAAGCACUUUAAGUUGGGAGGAAGGGCAGUAAAUUAAUACUUUGCUGUUUUGACGUUACCGACAGAAUAAGCACCGGCUAACUCUGUGCCAGCAGCCGCGGUAAUACAGAGGGUGCAAGCGUUAAUCGGAAUUACUGGGCGUAAAGCGCGCGUAGGUGGUUCGUUAAGUUGGAUGUGAAAUCCCCGGGCUCAACCUGGGAACUGCAUUCAAAACUGACGAGCUAGAGUAUGGUAGAGGGUGGUGGAAUUUCCUGUGUAGCGGUGAAAUGCGUAGAUAUAGGAAGGAACACCAGUGGCGAAGGCGACCACCUGGACUGAUACUGACACUGAGGUGCGAAAGCGUGGGGAGCAAACAGGAUU